RNAcentral lists this ribosomal RNA (3354 nucleotides) under Triticum aestivum (bread wheat). RNAcentral's name for it is "partial small subunit ribosomal RNA". Lineage: Eukaryota; Viridiplantae; Streptophyta; Magnoliopsida; Poales; Poaceae. The record is from RNAcentral.
AUGACUAUCAUGACUCCCGCCCCUCUCGAGGAGAACGACGAGAUGCUUGUUCCCCACCAGGAGCUAGCCACCGCCGAUGCAGACACUGCCCAGCCCAUGGAAGUGGUGGCACAGACGGAAGCGGCAAGCACAGCCGAGAGCCAGCCUUCUGAGGACCCACAGACAUCGCGGUUCACUUGGACAAUCGCAAGUUUUACCCGGCUCAACGGGAAGAAGCACUACUCUGAUGUGUUUGCCGUCGGUGGGUACAAAUGGCGUGUUCUUAUUUUCCCCAAGGGGAAUAAUGUGGAGCACCUGUCAAUGUACUUGGACGUCGCCGACUCGGUCAAUCUCCCAUAUGGUUGGAGCCGUUCUGCCCAGUUUAGCUUAUCUGUUGUAAACCAGAUUGAUCAGAAGUAUACGACACGAAAAGAUACUCAACAUCAAUUUAGUGCACGUGAGAGUGAUUGGGGUUUCACUUCUUUUAUGCCUUUGAGUGAGUUAUAUGAUCCAAGUAGAGGUUACCUUGUGAAUGAUACUAUUGUUGUGGAGGCAGAGGUUGCUGCCCGCAAAAUGGUUGACUAUUGGACAUAUGACUCAAAAAAGGAAACAGGUUAUGUUGGUUUGAAAAACCAAGGAGCGACCUGUUAUAUGAACUCUCUUCUACAAACAUUGUACCACAUACCAUACUUCAGAAAGGCUGUGUAUCAUAUGCCAACCACCGAAAACGACAUGCCAUCUGGAAGUAUUCCCUUGGCUCUGCAAACCCUUUUUUAUAAGCUCCAGUACAGUGACAACAGUGUAGCUACAAAAGAGUUGACGAAAUCUUUUGGAUGGGACACAUAUGAUUCCUUCAUGCAGCAUGAUGUACAAGAGCUCAACAGAGUUCUCUGUGAGAAACUUGAAGAUAAGAUGAAGGGAACUGUUGUAGAAGGAACAAUCGAGCAAUUAUUUGAAGGUCACCACAUUAAUUAUAUUGAGUGUAUAAACGUGGACUAUAAAUCUAACAGGAAGGAGUCCUUUUAUGACCUUCAACUUGAUGUUAAAGGUUGUCGUGACGUGUAUGCAUCGUUCGAUAAAUAUGUUGAGGUUGAACGUCUUGAGGGCGAUAACAAGUAUCAUGCAGAGAAUCAUGGUUUACAGGAUGCAAAAAAGGGUGUUCUCUUCCUCGAUUUCCCCCCUGUUUUGCAACUUCAGCUGAAGCGUUUUGAGUACGAUUAUAUGAGAGAUACCAUGGUUAAGAUUAAUGACCGCUACGAGUUUCCUUUGCAACUUGAUCUGGAUAGAGAUGAUGGCAAGUAUCUUGCUCCAGAUGCAGAUAGAAGUAUAAGAAACCUUUAUACUCUCCACAGCGUUCUUGUUCAUAGCGGAGGAGUACAUGGUGGUCAUUACUAUGCAUUCAUACGGCCAACGCUAGCAGAUCAAUGGUAUAAAUUUGAUGACGAGCGUGUAACAAAAGAAGAUACUAAAAAGGCCUUUGAAGAGCAGUAUGGGGGUGAGGAAGAGUUACCUCAAAUAAACCCUGGAUUCAACAACACUCCAUUCAAAUUCACGAAGUAUUCAAAUGCCUACAUGCUUGUAUACAUCCGUGAGAGUGACAAAGAGAAAAUAAUGUGUAAUGUUGAUGAGAAGGACAUUGCUGAACAUUUAAGGAUAAGGUUGAAGAAAGAACAAGAAGAGAAAGAACAUAAGAAGAAAGAAAAAGCUGAAGCCCAUCUCUAUACCAUCAUAAAGAUUGCCCGGGAUGAGGAUUUAAAGGAGCAAACUGGUAAGGACAUAUAUUUUGAUCUGGUGGACCAUGAAAAGGUCCGUAGCUUCCGAAUACAGAAGCAAUUGCCAUUUAGUACUUUCAAGGAGGAAGUUGCAAAGGAAUAUGGCAUCCCAGUACAGUUUCAGCGCUUCUGGCUGUGGGCUAAGAGGCAAAACCAUACAUACAGACCAAAUCGCCCAUUGAAUCCUCAUGAAGAAACACAAUCUGUGGGGCAACUGAGGGAGAUAUCAAAUAAGGCACAGAAUGCUGAACUGAAGCUGUUUUUGGAAGUGGAAUUUGGACUGGAUUUGCAGCCUCUUCCUCCUCCCGAGAAGAGCAAGGAAGAUAUUCUUCUUUUCUUCAAACUGUACAAUCCCGAAAAAGAAGUGCUUUGUUUUGUGGGGCGGUUCUUUGUAAAGGCCUUGGGGAAACCUUCAGAUAUUUUGAGAAAACUAACUGAAAUGGCUGGGUUUACCCCGGAUGAAGAGAUCGAGCUAUAUGAGGAAAUUAAGUUUGAGCCAAAUGUAAUGUGCGAACAUAUUGACAAGAAGCUUACUUUCCGUGCUAGUCAGCUUGAAGAUGGGGACAUAGUCUGUUUCCAAAAGUCACCUAAAGCAGACAGUGGUACUCAAGUGCGCUAUCCUGACGUCCCUUUGUUUUUGGAGUAUGUUCAUAAUAGGCAGGUUGUGCACUUUCGGUCGUUGGAGAAACCAAAGGAUGAUGAAUUUUGUUUGGAAUUGUCAAAGCUUCACACAUACGAUGAUGUUGUUGAGAGAGUUGCCCACCAGCUUGGGUUGGAUGAUCCAGCGAAAAUUCGCCUUACAUCCCAUAACUGCUAUUCACAGCAGCCUAAACCGCAACCCAUCAGAUAUCAGGGUGUGGAGCAUUUAUUGGACAUGCUCGUCCACUAUAAUCAGACGUCUGACAUCUUGUAUUACGAAGUAUUGGAUAUUCCUUUGCCGGAAUUGCAGUUCCUUAAAACCCUUAAAGUUGCAUUCCACCAUGCUACAAAGGAGGAGGUUGUCAUUCACAGCAUCAGGCUUCCUAAGAACAGCACCAUUGCUGAUGUGAUAAUUGACUUGAAAACUAAGGUUGAUCUAUCCAGUCCCACUGCCGAGCUACGCGUGCUAGAGGUCUUUUACCACAAGAUCUAUAAGAUCUUUCCACUUCACGAGAAGAUAGAGAAUAUAAAUGAUCAGUACUGGACGCUACGUGCUGAAGAGGUUCCAGAGGAGGAGAAAAAUCCCAGUCAGAAUGAUCGCUUAAUCCAUGUUUAUCACUUCGCGAAAGAUUCUCUUCAGAAUCAAAUUCAGAAUUUUGGAGAUCCUUUUUUUCUUGCCAUCCGUGAAGGUGAGACUUUAGCGGAAGUAAAGAGCCGCAUACAGAGAAAACUCCAGGUCCCUGAUGAAGAAUUCUCCAAGUGGAAAUUUGCAUUCAUAUCUAUGAAUCGGCCAGACUACCUACAAGAUUCUGAUGUUGUAUCUGCUCGUUUCCAGAGGAGAGAUGUCUAUGGAGCUUGGGAACAAUAUCUUGGGCUGGAGCAUACUGACACUGCACCAAAAAGGGCCUAUACAGCCAAUCAGAACCGUCACACGCAUGAGAAGCCGGUGAGGAUAUACAAUUAG